This 253-nucleotide ribosomal RNA is filed under the name uncultured bacterium. RNAcentral describes it as "partial 16S ribosomal RNA". It matches the Rfam family "Bacterial small subunit ribosomal RNA", at positions 524 to 776 of the family's 1533-position model. The record is from RNAcentral.
UACGUAGGGGGCAAGCGUUGUCCGGAUUUAUUGGGCGUAAAGAGCGUGUAGGCGGCCAGGUAGGUCUGCUGUGAAAACUCGAGGCUCAACCUCGAGAUGUCGGCGGAAACCAUCUGGCUAGAGUCCGGAAGAGGAGAAUGGAAUUCCCGGUGUAGCGGUGAAAUGCGCAGAUAUCGGGAAGAACACCCGUGGCGAAGGCGGUUCUCUGGGCAUCUCCUGACGCUGAGGCGCGAAAGCGUGGGGAGCAAACGGG